AACGUACGCUGGUGGCACGCCUAACACAUGCAAGUCGAACGAAGUAGCAAUACUUAGUGGCAGACGUGUGAGUAACAUGUGGGUAUCUACCCUUUGGCCUGGAAUAACACGAGGAAACUUGUUCUAAUACCGGAUAAGUCUUUACGGAGAAAGCUUUGUGCACCAUUGGAUGAGCCCGCACUUGAUUAGUUGGUUGGUAGGGUAAUGGCCUACCAAGGCUAUGAUCAAUAGCUGAUUUGAGAGGAUGAUCAGCCACAUUGGGACUGAGACACGGCCCAAACUCCUACGGGAGGCAGCAGUGGGGAAUCUUGCACAAUGGAGGAAACUGUGAUGCAGCGAUGCCGCGUGAGUGAAGAAGGCCUUUGGGUUGUAAAGCUGUUUGGUCGGGGAAGAAAAUGACUGUACCGGAAUAAGAAGGUCCGGCUAAAUUCGUGCCAGCAGCCGCGGUAAUACGAAGGGACCUAGCGUAGUUAGGAAUUACUGGGGGUAAAGAGUUCGUAGGUGGUUGAAAAAGUUGGUGGUGAAAUCCCAGAGCUUAACUCUGGAACUGCCAUCAAAACUUUUCAGCUAGAGUAUGAUAGAGGAAAGCAGAAUUUCUAGUUUAGAGGUGAAAUUUGUAGAUAUUAGAAAGAAUACCAAUUGCGAAGGCAGCUUUCGGGAUCAGUACUGA
RNAcentral lists this ribosomal RNA (670 nucleotides) under bacterium IMCC7653. RNAcentral's name for it is "bacterial SSU rRNA". It matches the Rfam family "Bacterial small subunit ribosomal RNA", at positions 28 to 743 of the family's 1533-position model. The record is from RNAcentral.